This 230-nucleotide unclassified non-coding RNA is filed under the name Hevea brasiliensis (rubber tree). Lineage: Eukaryota; Viridiplantae; Streptophyta; Magnoliopsida; Malpighiales; Euphorbiaceae. The record is from RNAcentral.
GGAUCAAAAGAGCUCCGCGCAUACCCAUGCUUGAUCAUGAAAGUGUCAAACUUCUUGUACCACUGCCUUGAAGCUUGCUUCAACCCAUACAGUGACUUUUGAAGCUUGCACACCAGAUCUUACUUCCCAGCAACAGCAUAUCCUUCGGGCUGUGACAUAUAAAUGUCCUCCUUCAAGUCUCCAUGCAAGAACGCAGUCUUGACAUCCAUCUGCUCGAGCUCCAUGUCAAG